Molecule: ribosomal RNA, 107 nt
Organism: Nomascus leucogenys (northern white-cheeked gibbon)
Lineage: Eukaryota; Metazoa; Chordata; Mammalia; Primates; Hylobatidae
Source: Rfam
AUCGAUGGCCGGACCAACCUGAAUGCGCCUGGUCUCAGAAGCUAAGCAGGGUUGGCUUGGUCAGUACUUGGACAGGAGACCGCCUGGGAGGCCCGGUGCUGUAGGCU